This is a long non-coding RNA of Gopherus flavomarginatus (Mexican gopher tortoise), 533 nucleotides long. RefSeq lists it as uncharacterized. NCBI's taxonomy places the organism in Eukaryota, Metazoa, Chordata, Testudines, Testudinidae. The record is from RefSeq and is a predicted model, not a curated record. The transcript is spliced from 2 exons.
CUCUCCCUGGUUGCGUGGAUGGCCAUUUUAGCCAGGGUGAGGAGGGGAUUGACCAGGAGGUCCCAUAACUUUGUGAGGCCACGGAUAGGGAGUGCAUAGAGAAGGAGGUGAGGGGAAAAGUGCAGCCAGAAACGCAACAGGAUAUUGGUGAGGAGUCGGUAUAGGGGCUGCAACCUGGUGCAUGCUAAGUAUCUGUAGAGAUAGUUACUUAGAUCUACAGUCCCAAAUCCUAAAAGAGCUCCAGACCCUUACUUAGAGUAUCUACAGAGGGGCUGUGAGUGGGGCAUCAGGUACUGAGUGUUGGACUCUUGCUCUUUCAGGGGCCGGUGACCUUCGAGGAGGCGACUGUGUAUUUCACCAGGGAAGAGUGGGCUCAGCUGGACCCUACAGGGGUGUCAUGCAGGAGAACUAGGUGCUCCAUGCAUAUAGUGAUGCCUGGAGAUGGCCCAUAAUUUACAUACUGACAGAAGCAGACUUGGGGUUUUAUUACACUGCUGAAGAAUAAAGUUUAUCUAAUAUUUGUGUAUAUCUCA